This 2789-nucleotide ribosomal RNA is filed under the name Escherichia coli. Its description in RNAcentral is "bacterial LSU rRNA". It matches the Rfam family "Bacterial large subunit ribosomal RNA". The record is from RNAcentral. Lineage: Bacteria; Pseudomonadati; Pseudomonadota; Gammaproteobacteria; Enterobacterales; Enterobacteriaceae.
AGCGUACACGGUGGAUGCCCUGGCAGUCAGAGGCGAUGAAGGACGUGCUAAUCUGCGAUAAGCGUCGGUAAGGUGAUAUGAACCGUUAUAACCGGCGAUUUCCGAAUGGGGAAACCCAGUGUGAUUCGUCACACUAUCAUUAACUGAAUCCAUAGGUUAAUGAGGCGAACCGGGGGAACUGAAACAUCUAAGUACCCCGAGGAAAAGAAAUCAACCGAGAUUCCCCCAGUAGCGGCGAGCGAACGGGGAGCAGCCCAGAGCCUGAAUCAGUGUGUGUGUUAGUGGAAGCGUCUGGAAAGGCGCGCGAUACAGGGUGACAGCCCCGUACACAAAAAUGCACAUGCUGUGAGCUCGAUGAGUAGGGCGGGACACGUGGUAUCCUGUCUGAAUAUGGGGGGACCAUCCUCCAAGGCUAAAUACUCCUGACUGACCGAUAGUGAACCAGUACCGUGAGGGAAAGGCGAAAAGAACCCCGGCGAGGGGAGUGAAAAAGAACCUGAAACCGUGUACGUACAAGCAGUGGGAGCACAGAGCAAUCUGUGUGACUGCGUACCUUUUGUAUAAUGGGUCAGCGACUUAUAUUCUGUAGCAAGGUUAACCGAAUAGGGGAGCCGAAGGGAAACCGAGUCUUAACUGGGCGUUAAGUUGCAGGGUAUAGACCCGAAACCCGGUGAUCUAGCCAUGGGCAGGUUGAAGGUUGGGUAACACUAACUGGAGGACCGAACCGACUAAUGUUGAAAAAUUAGCGGAUGACUUGUGGCUGGGGGUGAAAGGCCAAUCAAACCGGGAGAUAGCUGGUUCUCCCCGAAAGCUAUUUAGGUAGCGCCUCGUGAAUUCAUCUCCGGGGGUAGAGCACUGUUUCGGCAAGGGGGUCAUCCCGACUUACCAACCCGAUGCAAACUGCGAAUACCGGAGAAUGUUAUCACGGGAGACACACGGCGGGUGCUAACGUCCGUCGUGAAGAGGGAAACAACCCAGACCGCCAGCUAAGGUCCCAAAGUCAUGGUUAAGUGGGAAACGAUGUGGGAAGGCCCAGACAGCCAGGAUGUUGGCUUAGAAGCAGCCAUCAUUUAAAGAAAGCGUAAUAGCUCACUGGUCGAGUCGGCCUGCGCGGAAGAUGUAACGGGGCUAAACCAUGCACCGAAGCUGCGGCAGCGACGCUGAUGCGUUGUUGGGUAGGGGAGCGUUCUGUAAGCCUGUGAAGGUGUACUGUGAGGUAUGCUGGAGGUAUCAGAAGUGCGAAUGCUGACAUAAGUAACGAUAAAGCGGGUGAAAAGCCCGCUCGCCGGAAGACCAAGGGUUCCUGUCCAACGUUAAUCGGGGCAGGGUGAGUCGACCCCUAAGGCGAGGCCGAAAGGCGUAGUCGAUGGGAAACAGGUUAAUAUUCCUGUACUUGGUGUUACUGCGAAGGGGGGACGGAGAAGGCUAUGUUGGCCGGGCGACGGUUGUCCCGGUUUAAGCGUGUAGGCUGGUUUUCCAGGCAAAUCCGGAAAAUCAAGGCUGAGGCGUGAUGACGAGGCACUACGGUGCUGAAGCAACAAAUGCCCUGCUUCCAGGAAAAGCCUCUAAGCAUCAGGUAACAUCAAAUCGUACCCCAAACCGACACAGGUGGUCAGGUAGAGAAUACCAAGGCGCUUGAGAGAACUCGGGUGAAGGAACUAGGCAAAAUGGUGCCGUAACUUCGGGAGAAGGCACGCUGAUAUGUAGGUGAAGUCCCUCGCGGAUGGAGCUGAAAUCAGUCGAAGAUACCAGCUGGCUGCAACUGUUUAUUAAAAACACAGCACUGUGCAAACACGAAAGUGGACGUAUACGGUGUGACGCCUGCCCGGUGCCGGAAGGUUAAUUGAUGGGGUCAGCGCAAGCGAAGCUCUUGAUCGAAGCCCCGGUAAACGGCGGCCGUAACUAUAACGGUCCUAAGGUAGCGAAAUUCCUUGUCGGGUAAGUUCCGACCUGCACGAAUGGCGUAAUGAUGGCCAGGCUGUCUCCACCCGAGACUCAGUGAAAUUGAACUCGCUGUGAAGAUGCAGUGUACCCGCGGCAAGACGGAAAGACCCCGUGAACCUUUACUAUAGCUUGACACUGAACAUUGAGCCUUGAUGUGUAGGAUAGGUGGGAGGCUUUGAAGUGUGGACGCCAGUCUGCAUGGAGCCGACCUUGAAAUACCACCCUUUAAUGUUUGAUGUUCUAACGUUGACCCGUAAUCCGGGUUGCGGACAGUGUCUGGUGGGUAGUUUGACUGGGGCGGUCUCCUCCUAAAGAGUAACGGAGGAGCACGAAGGUUGGCUAAUCCUGGUCGGACAUCAGGAGGUUAGUGCAAUGGCAUAAGCCAGCUUGACUGCGAGCGUGACGGCGCGAGCAGGUGCGAAAGCAGGUCAUAGUGAUCCGGUGGUUCUGAAUGGAAGGGCCAUCGCUCAACGGAUAAAAGGUACUCCGGGGAUAACAGGCUGAUACCGCCCAAGAGUUCAUAUCGACGGCGGUGUUUGGCACCUCGAUGUCGGCUCAUCACAUCCUGGGGCUGAAGUAGGUCCCAAGGGUAUGGCUGUUCGCCAUUUAAAGUGGUACGCGAGCUGGGUUUAGAACGUCGUGAGACAGUUCGGUCCCUAUCUGCCGUGGGCGCUGGAGAACUGAGGGGGGCUGCUCCUAGUACGAGAGGACCGGAGUGGACGCAUCACUGGUGUUCGGGUUGUCAUGCCAAUGGCACUGCCCGGUAGCUAAAUGCGGAAGAGAUAAGUGCUGAAAGCAUCUAAGCACGAAACUUGCCCCGAGAUGAGUUCUCCCUGACUCCUUGA